Triticum aestivum (bread wheat) is the source of this 1645-nucleotide long non-coding RNA. RefSeq lists it as uncharacterized. NCBI's taxonomy places the organism in Eukaryota, Viridiplantae, Streptophyta, Magnoliopsida, Poales, Poaceae. The record is from RefSeq and is a predicted model, not a curated record. The transcript is spliced from 6 exons.
CGAGGUGGCGAGGUCAUGAUUAGACCCGCCCUAUGUUGAAUCUCCGUCCCCGAGCUCGUCUCCCCGCCCAUGCCCAUCUCGCGCGACCACUCCGGCGCCACCGCGUGACCCCUCCUCCCGUAGCUCUGCCUCACUGUGCCAUGACGCAUCAUCGCCGGCUGCUGCGUGCGUUGAUGUCAUGAUGUGUGCUCGCACCGCGUGCGCGCAGGUGUCGUCGAGCUGGAUGGUGCACACCAGGUGUUCGAUCAAAUGCGUGCCCUUGGAGAUGCGUCAACUAAUCUCGUUUUCGGCCGUGGCUCCGUCAGCAUCGAGUACGGUAAUGGCGGCGCUUCGUGGGAGAAAAUCAAAAUAUAUUUGCUAUGUUUCUUAGGUACCUGUAUAUAGAGCGUGGCUUGCUGCACGGCGAAGAGACCGCAGAUCCAAUAGCUGGGGCGGAGUACUUACUGAGGUAGCCUUUGGGGAUCAGAUGCCUCUCCGGGUCUGGCGGAUGUGGCCGUUCAAGCACCCUACUGUAUCGCCCGCAUCCCCAGCCGGCUGUGCCGAACCAGCCGGUGGCCGUUGUGCGGUCUCCGGGCUCCGGGCACGAUACCGGACCGGCCUGCCGGUCCAGUUGUCCCUGAUCCGAACCGCUCUGUGGAUGCCUCUCUCAACGUGUCCCGGGUGGGUGGAAGCGCAGGCAGCACCAUCCAGCUGUACGCGAUGAAGAGUGGUCAUUGUAAACCGUGUACCUCCACUCGUGGCGGCAAUCAGGAGUUUUCCUCAAGGAGCGAAUUCUGCAAUCUGUACUCGUGGGAGUAUGGUGUUCGUAUCAGGAAAGUGUCACCAAAACGUCCCAGAGAUUGUUUGCAGUUGUGCAGGCAAGCCGGACAGGGAGAACAGUUCAUCCGCUAGAACAAAGUGCCCUGCGAUGCUAAGCCUGUUAAGGACGGAAGAUGGAGGCUGGUAUGGUAUUUAUGUGCGCACAGGGUGUUGCAUAACCAUGAACGCCUCGGAACUUGUGCGGAGAAGUUAAAUUAGCCCCACUGAUAGACGUUGCAAUCUUGAAGUCAGAAGUGCCUUCACGACCGGAGCAAGCGCCACCCGGACCAGAUUGGCAUUUCACUUGAGAUGGUGUUGUGAUGACCUCCUGAAGUAUGGAUCUGCUUGCGCCCGUAUCGAGCGAUGGCCGAUGGCAGUGAUUAUGCGGAUUGCAGAACAUGUGUUUUCCUUAACUGUGCACACGCUAUGAUAUUUUCAAAGUAUUGCUGUGCACAAAUACAAAAGAGCAACUCUACGAGGCUUGGAUCACAUACCUUGUGUUGUAUCCUGCUGCUGGUUUCUGAAGAGAGGACGGCGCCCUUUCCUUGCGGUUGCACACUGCGCCAGCAAUCGGAGACGGAAACGUGCACGGCAACGGCAAGGGUAGGAGUGUGUGGGCGUGGGGGCAUGCGGGAAAAGAUGAUGUGAGGAAGACAGCAUCAUGGCGGAUCACUUGCACCAAUAUAAAGAUACAUGUCGGUUUAGUGUCUUUUGACUUUGUGGAGAAUUUUUGUUUUAGCAGCUGAUCAUGUCAUAGCGCACCGCGUAACAAAAUACUUUGAAUACUGAUACAAAGGAGUUGCUAUCCUAUAUUUAUUUAUAAUUUCUAUAGUUGCAGCAAUUUUUU